GAGUGGUCGGAUAUGAGGAGGUAUUUAGGAGGAGAGUGGCUGCCUUCUCCUCCUCUCUUUUGCUUUUCUGCCUGCUGAUAUUUGGGGUCGAGCUGAGGUCGAGUUAGGAUAACUCAGCGGCUCUGUGGCUCCAGGCGACUGUUAACCUGAUGGUUUUUCCCCAAACUGUGAAGGAAACAGUGGAAGGAAGGAAGGAAGGAAGGAAGAAGUCUCUUUUGCGUUUUUUCUUCCUUUCUGUCUCUAUUUUUAUAUGUUUAUCUUGGCUUUUUCUAUUUUUUCUCUUCAUCUUUCUCUCUGAACAUCAUUUUUGCUUUCUUUGUUCCUCCUUCACCUCCUCCUCUUCAUCCUCCUCUCAGUAGAUGGAAGAGGAUGAAUUCAUUGUUUUGUUUUGGGUUUUUUUCCUAAGAAGUCCUCAUCUUCAUCCUGCAGUCCCAGAUUAGCUUUCACUUCUUUAAAGUUUUUGUUUUUGUUUUGUUUUUUAUUUACUGAUGGAAGCUGCUAAAUGAAUAAUGAAGUACAUUUCCAGACAGGCAGCUUUAGAAAGCCUAUACUUUACAUUACAGCUGAUGUAACGCUAUUGAAUUAUUUGGGACGCAAAAUAAAAUAUUAGCUGUCUAAAAUAACGUGAUUAAUAUUUCUAUAAUUAAUAUAUUAGUUUUCAGAUAUAUAUCCACAUUCAGGCAAAUAGAUAGUGAGACGAAAGGUUGAGCCCAAAAAGCACCACACUUCUGUUAAGUCUAUUCAUUGUUGUUUUAGAUCUCUUUCUAGACAUUUGUAUCUUUUGUGGUUGUUUUGUAUCUUUUUAUGGACAUUUUCCGUCUUCUAUCUUUUUCAUCUUUCUGGAUCUCUUGAAUGUCUUUUUUGUUACAGUCAUUUUUCCAUCUUUUCUUUGUGGCUACUUUCUAACUCUUUCUAUUAUGGUCGUUAUACCGUCUUAUGGUCAUUUUCUUUUUGUGGUCCUUUUUAUCUAUUUCUGUUCAUUUUCUGUAUCUUUGUAGUACUUUUUCAUCUUUGUUGUCAUUUUAUAUGUCCUUAUGGUAAUUCUGCCUUUCUUUUGCAUAAAUUUUUUGUGGUCAAUUUGCCUAAAUUUGUCAUCAUUUGAUGUCUCUUUGUUUUAUGGUCAUUUUUUGCCUUUUUGUGGUCCUUUUUUAUCUCUGUGUUUUAACUCUCUUCAUCUUUGUUGUCAUUUUAUAUCUAUUUACAGUCAUUUUGCCUUUCAAUUUCUUGUUUUUUUAUCUCUUUGUGAUCAUUUUGCAUCGCUUUCUGAUCAUUUUCUGUUUAUUUCAUUUUGUGCCAUUUUCUGGUCUUUUUUUUAUUUCUUUAUGGUCAUUUUUAACUUAUUUUUAUUCAUUUUGUGUCUCUUUUUGUUCCAUUCUUCAUCAAUUACAGUGUUGAGUUUAGCAUUAAACCAACAGCUCCACAAGGAUAAACAACAACUUCAGGGUCUUGUGUUUUCAGUAAAAUUCUAUUAACUAUUUUUUUUUUAAACUCUUUUUUUCAGGUGACACUUGAAGCCCAGGCACCAGAUAAACUAAUUACGCAAUAUUACAUUUAGCCAUUACUGUUGCACAUGCAGGUUUAUUGUUGCACUGAUUCUUCAUGUUGGGCUCCAUGUUUUCAUGUGUUUCCUGUCCAUCUGUUUAUUCCCUGUACAAAGCUGUUUGCUCAGUCAAUCGUGGCUCCUGAAGGAGGGUGCCGGCUCAAAUUAACUCACAUUUUUGCUCCUACGCCCCUGGGUGCUCUCAGCUCUGGGCAGCAGCGUUGGAUGGAUUUGUAGAUCGUUUCACGGGCCAUUAAUUUUUAAAAUGGGUUUGCGGUCAGGGCAGAGUGAGGUGAGUGACUAAUACCAGGAUGUCAGGCAGCGGAUCAGGGGAGCAGGCACCAAUGGUUAGUAAGGGCAUAACAAGCCUGUAAAACCAAAGAUGAAGCUUUCAGAAAUGAGUGUGGUGCAUCUUGGGAUGUAAGCUGUAAACAUGCAUCUUC
Molecule: long non-coding RNA, 1983 nt
Organism: Astatotilapia calliptera (eastern happy)
Lineage: Eukaryota; Metazoa; Chordata; Actinopteri; Cichliformes; Cichlidae
Source: Ensembl